RNAcentral lists this ribosomal RNA (941 nucleotides) under Listeria welshimeri. RNAcentral describes it as "partial 23S ribosomal RNA". It matches the Rfam family "Bacterial large subunit ribosomal RNA", at positions 1217 to 2155 of the family's 2925-position model. The record is from RNAcentral. Lineage: Bacteria; Bacillati; Bacillota; Bacilli; Caryophanales; Listeriaceae.
GGAGGUUCGUGGUAGGAGAGCGUUCUAAGGGCGGUGAAGUCAGACCGGAAGGACUGGUGGAGCGCUUAGAAGUGAGAAUGCCGGUAUGAGUAGCGAAAGAAGGGUGAGAAUCCCUUCCACCGAAUAUCUAAGGUUUCCUGAGGAAGGCUCGUCCGCUCAGGGUUAGUCGGGACCUAAGCCGAGGCCGAUAGGCGUAGGCGAUGGACAACAGGUAGAGAUUCCUGUACCAGUGCUAAUUGUUUAACCGAUGGGGUGACACAGAAGGAUAGGGAAUCGCACGAAUGGAAAUGUGCGUCCAAGCAGUGAGUGUGAGAAGUAGGCAAAUCCGCUUCUCGCGAAGCAUGAGCUGUGAUGGGGAAGGAAAUAAAGUACGGAAGUUCCUGAUUUCACGCUGUCAAGAAAAGCCUCUAGGAAGAGUAGUACUGCCCGUACCGCAAACCGACACAGGUAGAUGAGGAGAGAAUCCUAAGGUGAGCGAGAGAACUCUCGUUAAGGAACUCGGCAAAAUGACCCCGUAACUUCGGGAGAAGGGGUGCUCUAUUAGGGUGCAAGCCCGAGAGAGCCGCAGUGAAUAGGCCCAGGCGACUGUUUAGCAAAAACACAGGUCUCUGCAAAACCGUAAGGUGACGUAUAGGGGCUGACGCCUGCCCGGUGCUGGAAGGUUAAGAGGAGUGCUUAGCUUCGGCGAAGGUACGAAUUGAAGCCCCAGUAAACGGCGGCCGUAACUAUAACGGUCCUAAGGUAGCGAAAUUCCUUGUCGGGUAAGUUCCGACCCGCACGAAAGGCGCAACGAUCUGGGCACUGUCUCAACGAGAGACUCGGUGAAAUUAUAGUACCUGUGAAGAUGCAGGUUACCCGCGACAGGACGGAAAGACCCCGUGGAGCUUUACUGCAACCUGAUAUGGAAUGUUUGUACCGCUUGUACAGGAUAGGUAGGAGCC